GAUCAUGGCUCAGAUUGAACGCUGGCGGCAGGCCUAACACAUGCAAGUCGAGCGGUAGAGAGAAGCUUGCUUCUCUUGAGAGCGGCGGACGGGUGAGUAAUACCUAGGAAUCUGCCUGAUAGUGGGGGAUAACGUUCGGAAACGGACGCUAAUACCGCAUACGUCCUACGGGAGAAAGCAGGGGACCUUCGGGCCUUGCGCUAUCAGAUGAGCCUAGGUCGGAUUAGCUAGUUGGUGAGGUAAUGGCUCACCAAGGCUACGAUCCGUAACUGGUCUGAGAGGAUGAUCAGUCACACUGGAACUGAGACACGGUCCAGACUCCUACGGGAGGCAGCAGUGGGGAAUAUUGGACAAUGGGCGAAAGCCUGAUCCAGCCAUGCCGCGUGUGUGAAGAAGGUCUUCGGAUUGUAAAGCACUUUAAGUUGGGAGGAAGGGCAUUAACCUAAUACGUUGGUGUCUUGACGUUACCGACAGAAUAAGCACCGGCUAACUCUGUG
RNAcentral lists this ribosomal RNA (497 nucleotides) under uncultured bacterium. RNAcentral's name for it is "bacterial SSU rRNA". It matches the Rfam family "Bacterial small subunit ribosomal RNA", at positions 15 to 507 of the family's 1533-position model. The record is from RNAcentral.